AGAUCACUUUGAUGCCAGAUACAA
RNAcentral lists this non-coding RNA (24 nucleotides) under Arabidopsis thaliana (thale cress). Lineage: Eukaryota; Viridiplantae; Streptophyta; Magnoliopsida; Brassicales; Brassicaceae. The record is from RNAcentral.